AAAGGGAGACCUAAUUCAGGUAAAAGACGAAAAAAAAGUAGUCGCUACCAAGAAUCAAUCCCAAAAGGUCGGAGCGAGGCGAAAUUGGCUUUCAAACUAGGUUCUGGGUUCACACAAGACCUGAAUCAGGAACAAGGGCUAUUAGCUCAGGUGGUUAGAGCGCACCCCUGAUAAGGGUGAGGUCCCUGGUUCGAGUCCAGGAUGGCCCACCUGCACAGGUGGCAAAAACAAGAGAAGCUCCGAAUCAGCACCUUAUCUUACUGACAUAGUAAGAGAGAAUGCUGGCUCUGAGUAAAGAGUCCAGAGGAACCUUGAAAACUGCAUAGAGCUAGGUGAAAAAGCCAAAAAAGAAGACCGCAAG
Molecule: transfer RNA, 361 nt
Filed under: uncultured Microcystis sp.
Lineage: Bacteria; Bacillati; Cyanobacteriota; Cyanophyceae; Chroococcales; Microcystaceae
Description: partial 16S-23S ribosomal RNA intergenic spacer
Rfam family: tRNA (bases 136-209)
Source: RNAcentral